CACGACCAUGAAGCAUGUGUCACGCUCCCCAUGUGGAUGGAAGUUAAAGUAAUUUACAUAUGUCUGUAGCCAACUAGUAAACUUGUUUACUCUGACUGCUGUGAAAAGUUUGAAAUGGAACCACGAAGACAAUGGCCGAUAUUUGUGUUUUGUAGUUUUAAUGCUGUUCUUCGAUCGCAAUCGACGCAUGAAGUGAAUUCAGUUCCAUCAACAGUUCAUCGGGUCAACGAAGUACCGUUGCGUCUUGAUGAAUAUUCCUUUGAUCCACCGCUCAAAAUAAAGCGUGUCAUUGAAGCGAAAGAAUUAAACUCAAGAUUGCAUGUUUCACGGAAUGAGCGACUGAACUGGGAGGAUCCGGAGAAAAGACAGAAUGAAUAUAAAUUAUCAAUGACGAGACUUCUAAAUCAGGGAAGGGGAAGCGCCCUAACAAAUUUUGCGGAGACGGGAAGGUCUUCGUUAUCCAAGGGCAGUGGUUUUAUCACGAAUCCUAUUAUUAUCAAAUAUCUGUGAAUGAUACCAAAUUAUUUGAAAUUCAAUUUAUCAAAAUGAUUUGAUGGUCAAUCUAUCAUUAUGGCGAUUUAAAUAUAUGGAAUGUGGGGGAAACAAAUUAUCUAUUCCAGUGUGCAGAAAAUGAUGACGUAUAGAUACAUGUAUGUAAGAAAUAAUUUCAUUCAUGAGAGCAUGAACUGCAACAAUUGACGUCAGCAUACCUCAUGAAGCAUGUUAACUAGCGAUCCGUGAAAAGUAUACCGAUGUGAAGCGUUGAAGUUCAUACCCUCAUGUAUUUUCAAAAAUGAAAUUUGUCUUAUUUAUUUACAUUCUACUUUCAUUUCUGUAGGAAUUUCCAGUCCUUAAAAUAAACGUACUAUAUUUAUCAAGAUUCAUGCCUUGUUCACGACCGCAUCGCAUUCAUGAGGGAAUGGCUAUCAUUUCAUUUGGUAAAGAUAUCGAUUCGAAGACAAAAAUAUUUGAAAUGUAAAUAUAAUAAAAUAUUUGCAGGUAAAGGCAUACUUAUAUCUCGUGCUAUGUAUCGUGAAAAAGACACCCCAAAACCACUACAGUUGAUAGGUAGUUUCCACGACCCUGCUCAGCACCCGUUUACGCUUGGGUGGGAAAGAACCACUCCGCAGCCUGUAGCCAUCACCAGACCAAAAUCCAGCGAACUAGAACCAAUAUCCAGCGAACCGGAACCUCGAUUAUCCGCCGCGAAACAGGAAGAAGACACGACAAGACAACAACUAAGAAAAGGUACAGAGAAAGGCUUAAAAGACUGGAGCUGGAGGGAUAACGUCUCUAAAUCACAGAGGUUGAGUGUACCAAAAGCAGUGUUCAGAUUCACACAGACAAACCCACUAGAGCAGUCCUAGAGCCGCUCCCUCACCAUCAUGUCAUAAUGUGAUCAUGUAUCGAAUGUAAUUUAUGUAAUUUCUUUUAUUGUUUCAUUAAAAACACGAGAAAUAUACAUGUUCUCUAUAAACAUA
Ostrea edulis (European flat oyster) is the source of this 1481-nucleotide long non-coding RNA. RefSeq lists it as uncharacterized. The record is from RefSeq and is a predicted model, not a curated record. The transcript has 9 exons. Lineage: Eukaryota; Metazoa; Mollusca; Bivalvia; Ostreida; Ostreidae.